RNAcentral lists this ribosomal RNA (253 nucleotides) under uncultured bacterium. RNAcentral's name for it is "partial 16S ribosomal RNA". It matches the Rfam family "Bacterial small subunit ribosomal RNA", at positions 524 to 776 of the family's 1533-position model. The record is from RNAcentral.
UACGAAGGGGGCUAGCGUUGUUCGGAAUUACUGGGCGUAAAGCGCGCGCAGGCGGUCUUCCAAGUCAGUGGUGAAAGCCCGGAGCUCAACUCCGGAACUGCCAUUGAAACUGUUAGACUUGGGGAUGAGAGAGGUGAGUGGAAUUCCCAGUGUAGAGGUGAAAUUCGUAGAUAUUGGGAAGAACACCGGUGGCGAAGGCGGCUCACUGGCUCAUUUCUGACGCUCAGGCGCGACAGCGUGGGGAUCAAACAGG